AUUGAACGCUGGCGGCAUGCUUUACACAUGCAAGUCGAACGGCAGCGCGGGCUUCGGCCUGGCGGCGAGUGGCGAACGGGUGAGUAAUACAUCGGAACGUGCCCAGUAGUGGGGGAUAGCUCGGCGAACGCCGGAUUAAUACCGCAUACGACCUGAGGGUGAAAGCGGGGGAUCUUCGGACCUCGCGCUAUUGGAGCGGCCGAUGGCAGAUUAGCUAGUUGGUGGGGUAAAGGCCUACCAAGGCGACGAUCUGUAGCUGGUCUGAGAGGACGACCAGCCACACGGGGACUGAGACACGGCCAAGACUCCUACGGGAGGCAGCAGUGGGGAAUUUUGGACAAUGGGCGAAAGCCUGAUCCAGCAAUGCCGCGUGUGGGAUGAAGGCCUUCGGGUUGUAAAGCACUUUUGGCGGGAACGAAAAGGACUGUGCCAAUACCACGGUUCGAUGACGGUACCCGCAGAAUAAGCACCGGCUAACUACGUG
RNAcentral lists this ribosomal RNA (484 nucleotides) under uncultured bacterium. RNAcentral's name for it is "partial 16S ribosomal RNA". It matches the Rfam family "Bacterial small subunit ribosomal RNA", at positions 29 to 507 of the family's 1533-position model. The record is from RNAcentral.